This 253-nucleotide ribosomal RNA is filed under the name uncultured bacterium. Its description in RNAcentral is "partial 16S ribosomal RNA". It matches the Rfam family "Bacterial small subunit ribosomal RNA", at positions 524 to 776 of the family's 1533-position model. The record is from RNAcentral.
GACGGAGGAUGCAAGCGUUAUCCGGAAUGAUUGGGCGUAAAACGUCCGCAGGUGGCAGUUCAAGUCUGCUGUCAAAGACCGGGGCUUAACUUCGGAAAGGCAGUGGAAACUGAACAGCUAGAGUAUGGUAGGGGCAGAGGGAAUUCCUGGUGUAGCGGUGAAAUGCGUAGAGAUCAGGAAGAACAUCGGUGGCGAAGGCGCUCUGCUGGACCAUAACUGACACUCAGGGACGAAAGCUAGGGGAGCGAAUGGG